UUCUGAGUUUUAUUUCUAGCCUAUAUAUAUAUAUAUAUAAUUAUUUUAUAAUAUAAAACAUUUAUACCAUGAUAGUAUGGGUGACAAAAAACUUUUUUAGCGCAAUAAAUAAAGUACUGUAAAGGAAAGAUGAAAUAGAAAUGAAAUAAACCUCAAAAAUACAAAAAAGCAAAGACUACUACUUUUACCUUUUGCAUAAUGGUCUAGCCAGUCUAUAUUAACGAAAAGAACUUUAGCUACAUACCCCGAAAUCAAGCGAGCUAUUCCAGAGCAACAACAUGAGUAAACUCUUCUCUGUGGCAAAAGAGUGAGAAGACUCUGGUAUAGAGGUGAUAAAUCUAACGAGCCUGAAGAUAGCUGGUUACUUGAGACUGAAUUUGAGUUCAAUUAAAAGCAUAUACACAAACAAAAGAAUAUGAUUGCUAUUAUUAUAAUUAAUUAAGGUACAGCCUAAUUAAUAAAGGAAACAACCUAAAUACAUGAAUAAAAAUAUUUAAAGGAAUUCUAUAUUGUGGGCCUGAAAGCAGCCACCAUAAGACAGCGUCAAAGCUUUACUUACCAAACACUCAUUAUUUCAAUAAUUUAUUCUAAUUCAUCUUAAUUAUCAAGUAAAUCUAUAAUUAGAUAAUAUACUACUAGAAUAAGUAAUAAGGAGAUAAACCUCUAAAUAUAUGUGUAAAUCAAAACGAACACAUCAUUGAUAAUUAACAAAUAUAUUUAAUAUACAAGAAUUAAAUAUUAUAAUAUGUUAACCCAACACAGGAAUAUAAAAGAAAGACUUAAAAUCCAAAAAGGAACUCGGCAAAUCUUGAGCUUCGCCUGUUUACCAAAAACAUCGCCUCUUGCUUAAAUUGUAUAAAAGGUACUGCCUGCCCAGUGACACCUGUUUAACGGCCGCGGUAUUAUGACCGUGCAAAGGUAGCGUAAUCACUUGUCCCCUAAAUAGUGACCAGUAUGAAUGGCAAAACGAGAGCUCAACUGUCUCCUUGGAUUUGUCAAUGAAAUUGAUUUUUCCGUGCAGAAGCGGAAAUAUUAUUAUAAGACGAGAAGACCCUGUGGAGCUUCAAACUUAAUGCUAAUUAUAUUAAAUAUUAAUUUAGCACAUAGCUUUGGGUUGGGGCGACCACGGGGUAAAAAAAAACCCCCGAGAUGAAAAGUUUAGAAAAACACUUCAAACAACAAUAUAGUUGACAUAAUUGACCCAACAAUUGAUCAACGAACCAAGUUACCCCAGGGAUAACAGCGCAAUCCUUUCACAGAGUUCAUAUCGACGAAUGGGUUUACGACCUCGAUGUUGGAUCAGGACCCCCCAAUGGUGCAACAGCUAUUAAAGGUUCGUUUGUUCAACGAUUAAAGUCCUACGUGAUCUGAGUUCAGACCGGAGUAAUCCAGGUCAGUUUCUAUCUAUAAACAAUUUCCCCUAGUACGAAAGGGCCGGGGAAAUAAGGCCCAUUAAAAAUUUAAGCCUUCCCAUUAACCUCUAAAAUUAAAUUAAGAAGGGAACUGGAAAAAACAUUAAUCUAAAAAUGAUUUAUU
RNAcentral lists this ribosomal RNA (1536 nucleotides) under Aneides lugubris. RNAcentral describes it as "partial large subunit ribosomal RNA". It matches the Rfam family "Bacterial large subunit ribosomal RNA", at positions 388 to 2830 of the family's 2925-position model. The record is from RNAcentral. Lineage: Eukaryota; Metazoa; Chordata; Amphibia; Caudata; Plethodontidae.